GCUUCUUUGUUUUAAGUGAUAUUUAUCAGUACUAAUAAAUCUGAUAAAUCAAUUCUAAUAAAUACUGAUAAAUCCAUUUUGGGAUUGUCUAUUAAGGGGUGCUUGUAGCUUCAAUGCUGUUGUCCUGGAACGCUGCUGUGGGCUCUGUGUGGAGACGUUGGAUGCUGCACUGAUAUGGGCUCAAAGGACUGAUGGCUCUGUGAAGCAGCUGAACAGCAAGGAGAACAGCAGAAGAAGAACAGCUGAACAGCAGAGAAGUCAGAGUAGUCAUCUCAAUGAACAACCAACCUUUGCCCGUGGUGAAAUAGGAUCUCAUGAGAACAACAUUUUGUGAUUUCUCAACUUCCUAUCCACCUACCACACUUGAAGCUAAUACUUUUGACUUUUCUGGAGCUAAGAACACGUAACAUAAUCCCGGUACAGGAGAAGGCUUCUUCAGAAUGUGAUUACUGCUUCAUGCCUGAAGGGAAUCCCAGGGCUGUGCCUACCCCAAAACCUCAUCAGCAAAUACCUCAUCCAUGUGUUGAAGGCAGCAAGAAGGAUUGUCACACCAACGUUGUUGCUCUUAGUGGGACAGCCACAGCAUCGUACAGUGACCAGAGAGCCUCCUGGAAGCCAGUGGCAGAGGGAGCAGUGGGUGUGAUGUGAAGGAGUGCUGGAAGAGUGACCGACGUGAUGGAGAGCAGCCCUGUCAUGCUGAGCUCCCAGGAUGUGUUUGGGUAAUCCUAAAAGACUGCUUGGAGAAGCAGAAAGACACAGGGAGAAGAAGAAAGCAGGAGGCUGGCACAGCCGGCUCUGGAAAUGAUCAGAGGCACUAGUGCCAUAUUGCACCUCUGCACAUGGCCCUGUUGGUCCAUUACAGCUCUUCGCUGGAAGGCAGCUGGCAUCCAGGUAGCUCCAUUGGAGGUGUCCGCAGUGAGCCAAGCAGCAAAAGGGCCACCAAACAGUGAGUUUCUGCGUGGGGAACUUAAUUUCUGAUUUGGGGACUAAUCCAAGCUGAAGGACAAGUGUCAUCUUCCCUUGUGUUUAGGCAUGGGUAACGCUGUGUCUGAACCUGGGCAAGUUUUCCAAAUGUCUUUGUCACUUGGCCUGUCCUCCCCAUUACAGGGCACAAGGGGGCAGCCCCGUUUCCAGAUCCAUUUGGUUGUUCUCAUCCCCGUGUGCUGCAAAAAGCUCUGAAGUGAGCGCAUUUGGAGAUGCUGUUUGGUUUUGUUUUUACCGGUGUCUUUCUAAUGGAAAGAGCUCUUUGGAGGUACUAAAUUAUCAAUUUUCUCACAGGUACCCGGAGUGCUGAUUGUUACGGUUGUUUUUAUUGAUGUCUGGUCUGGAAACAGAUUGCAGGUUUUGUUGUUUUUAAUAUAAUGCGACGUGUCUCAGCAUGCAGCCACAGGAAUGUAAUAUAACAGGGAAUCGGCCUGCUCGGAAAGUGCAGCCGUGGGUUAUUGCCCUUUGGCUGGAAACAGGCUUCAUUUUUUUUUCUUCUUUGCAGUUCUCAACCAAGGAAGGUAACUCAAACCUUUGGCAAAUUCUGUGUUUGUAACUGCGUCGUUGUAACACACACCACUACCACACUAAUUCAUUCUGUGGGUAUCCCAAACCCACCUCGUUCCUGUUUUGGCAAUCUGAUGGUGUAUGAUACGAUAUCUGAUGGGAUGUGUAGAGGCAGCUCAAGCUUUCCUCCAUGCCUCAGGAAAUUUGGUUUUAUCCAUGUAAGAAUUUUUGGGCAGCACAGGUAAACUUAUUAUGGUGGCAAAAGAGAUUUUGGGGUGGAAAUGGGGAUGUUUGGGGGCUGGGAGGUGCCAGUGGUUAUUGGGGUGGCUGCAAGGUGUCUGGAGGGGAGCAAAUGUGACGGUGGGGGCAGCAGCAAGGGAAUGCUGGAGGAAGAGAGCUGACAGCAGCCUGUCUGGACAAGAUGAGGGCAGGGAGAGACCUGGAAAUGCAUCUGUGGAGCUUUGGAGGCCCAGCAGGAUGGAAGCAGGUACUUGGGGCACUCAGCUUUGCCACCCGCUCCCUCUGGGAGGGGGGAAGAUUGCUGUGGGUACAGCUCGGUGCAGUGCUCAGCUGUCUUGAAGCCAGCACGUACAAUUGCUGAUC
Molecule: non-coding RNA, 2094 nt
Organism: Anas platyrhynchos (mallard)
Lineage: Eukaryota; Metazoa; Chordata; Aves; Anseriformes; Anatidae
Source: RefSeq, a predicted model, not a curated record